GAUAACAUGCUCACAAUCGUAAACAAUUUAAGAAAAAACUCUUGCGCUACGAACACGAUCAGAUAUGCAUUUAAUCAUGGAUUCAACGAUGCAUUCUCUGACUUUUGCGCCAGAUAGCGCCCCCAUCUCAUUUUAUCUAUUAUGAUUAUACAGGCUUUAACAAAGCUUGUAUAUCUUGUCGCCUAAUUAUACAAAGAGUGACAAGCUUUGAGAUGUUUAGGUAUCCAAUUUUUA
Schizosaccharomyces pombe (fission yeast) is the source of this 234-nucleotide non-coding RNA. The record is from the annotation of a GenBank genome assembly. Lineage: Eukaryota; Fungi; Ascomycota; Schizosaccharomycetes; Schizosaccharomycetales; Schizosaccharomycetaceae.